This 22-nucleotide non-coding RNA is filed under the name Arabidopsis thaliana (thale cress). Lineage: Eukaryota; Viridiplantae; Streptophyta; Magnoliopsida; Brassicales; Brassicaceae. The record is from RNAcentral.
UGCUACAUACGAUUGGCGGCGA